This 465-nucleotide ribosomal RNA is filed under the name uncultured Klebsiella sp. RNAcentral describes it as "bacterial SSU rRNA". It matches the Rfam family "Bacterial small subunit ribosomal RNA", at positions 338 to 795 of the family's 1533-position model. Lineage: Bacteria; Pseudomonadati; Pseudomonadota; Gammaproteobacteria; Enterobacterales; Enterobacteriaceae. The record is from RNAcentral.
CCUACGGGAGGCUGCAGUGGGGAAUAUUGCACAAUGGGCGCAAGCCUGAUGCAGCCAUGCCGCGUGUGUGAAGAAGGCCUUCGGGUUGUAAAGCACUUUCAGCGGGGAGGAAGGCGUUAAGGUUAAUAACCUUGUCGAUUGACGUUACCCGCAGAAGAAGCACCGGCUAACUCCGUGCCAGCAGCCGCGGUAAUACGGAGGGUGCGAGCGUUAAUCGGAAUUACUGGGCGUAAAGCGCACGCAGGCGGUCUGUCAAGUCGGAUGUGAAAUCCCCGGGCUCAACCUGGGAACUGCAUUCGAAACUGGCAGGCUAGAGUCUUGUAGAGGGGGGUAGAAUUCCAGGUGUAGCGGUGAAAUGCGUAGAGAUCUGGAGGAAUACCGGUGGCGAAGGCGGCCCCCUGGACAAAGACUGACGCUCAGGUGCGAAAGUGUGGGGAGCAAACAGGAUUAGAUACCCUAGUAGUC